AGAACGAACGCUGGCGGCAUGCCUAAUACAUGCAAGUCGAACGAACACUUCGGUGUUAGUGGCGCACGGGUGCGUAACGCGUGGGAAUCUGCCCUUGGGUUCGGAAUAACAGUUGGAAACGACUGCUAAUACCGGAUGAUAUCGAAAGAUACAAAGUAUUUAUCCGACCCGAGGGAUGACGCCCGCGUAGGAUUAGCUAGUUGGUAGAAGGUAAGGCUCACCGAAGGCGACGACUCCUAGCGUGGUCUGAGAGGAUGAUCACGCCACACGUGGGACUAGGACGACGACCGGCCCAGACCUCCGUACGGGAGGCAGACAGGUAAGGGAAUUAGUGGAACAAGUGGGACGACAACGCC
Molecule: ribosomal RNA, 356 nt
Filed under: uncultured soil bacterium
Lineage: Bacteria
Description: bacterial SSU rRNA
Rfam family: Bacterial small subunit ribosomal RNA
Source: RNAcentral